This 107-nucleotide transfer RNA is filed under the name Ustilago hordei. RNAcentral's name for it is "transfer RNA-Leu(TAG)". It matches the Rfam family "tRNA". Rfam says of the family: Transfer RNA (tRNA) molecules are approximately 80 nucleotides in length. Their secondary structure includes four short double-helical elements and three loops (D, anti-codon, and T loops). The record is from RNAcentral. Lineage: Eukaryota; Fungi; Basidiomycota; Ustilaginomycetes; Ustilaginales; Ustilaginaceae.
GGCUGGUUGGUGAAGUGGCCUAACACACUGGUUUUAGGAACCAACUGCAAAUCUGCAGUUUUCUAAGCUCACACCAGGAUUCCUGGGUUCGAAUCCCAGACUAGUCA